AAAAAUGAAAAGGGCAACGUAUCAUUACACGAGGCCUUGAUGAACGGUCACCAAGUUGUAGCUUAUUAUUUGAUCACGGUAGAUCCAGAAGUGUUAUAUUAUCUGAACAAUGAAGUGAAAUCAGCUCUGUUUCUAGCUGCUGAAGUAGGGUUUUAGGAACUUGUCACGCAUAUUCUAUGUGAUACAGUUGGGAUUGAAAAUACAAAUCAAAGACUUGAAGGGUAAUCACCUAUUCAUGCUGCCAUUUUAAAAAGAAACCGAGGUGUUUUUGAUGCCUUAUUGAAAUCAGAACCAAGGUUCAUUCGAUUAAGAGAUGAAGAAGGAAGGACUCCACUUCACUUGAUUGCAUGAUUGGGCUAUCUUGAAGAGGUUCAGUACUUGUUAGGAAGACAGAGUUCAGGUGCUAUUGCAAGGGACAACAAUGGCUUACUUCCUAUUCAUUUAGCAUCAAUUAAAGGCCAUGUUGAUGUUGUCCGGGCGUUGCUUCAGUAUUGGCCUGAUUCGAGGGAACUGCUCAACUGUCAUGGUCAAAAUAUUCUUCAUGUUGCAGCCAAGAGCAGAGGACAUAACAUGGUUAGUUACAUUCUCCAAACUCCUGAGGUCGAGAAGUUUUAUAAACAUGAGGGAUAAGCAUGGAAACACAACCUUGCAUUUGGCCACCUUGGAUUGGCAUCCAAAGAUUGUUAGUACCCUAACAUGGGAUGAAAGAGUGGACUUAUAGUGAAUAAUGAGGGUAUGUCUGCUCUUGAUUCUGCUGAAUACUACAUGGAAAGAAUGUCCUCAUUUCGAAAGCCAUUAGGUGGUCAUAGUUUAAAUUCGUGGGACAUUUUUGUCUUGCGACGGUUAACAUGGACUGCAUUGAAGGCCGCUGGUGCACCACUAGCUUACUGUAGAAAAGCCGUCAAUGCUAAAACGAAACAAGCAUCUAUGCAACUGGAGCAAGUGAACAUAGACAGCUAUAAGGACCGAUUCAACACUCUUCUAUUGGUGUCCACCCUCAUUGCCACUGUAACUUUUGUAGCUGGUUGCACAAUACCCGGUGGUUAUAACAACAUUGAACCUGACCAAGGCAUGCCAACUAUGCUAAAACACAAGUGGUUUCACAUAUUCAUUUUCUGUGACACCAUAGCUCCAUUAUUACUGCUGUUACCCUCAUAUGGGCACAAUUAAGGGACCUCAAUUUGGUGCUUACUGCCUACAGAUUGGCGGCACUACCACUACUGGGGAUCACUCUCACCAAAGCAAGGAGGAAAUGAUAUCAACAGAGAUAUUUCCUCGUUUAAUUUAUUUGAUUUGUUGGUUAAUUGAGUUCCUUUUGUUUGCUUUUGGUCUUAUAUGUUGGUAUCUAAGUAGCUUGCCAGCAAGUCUGUAAUUGUACGUAAUGUUUUGAUAUUUUAGUGUUUUACAGUUAA
Molecule: non-coding RNA, 1412 nt
Organism: Camellia sinensis
Lineage: Eukaryota; Viridiplantae; Streptophyta; Magnoliopsida; Ericales; Theaceae
Source: RefSeq, a predicted model, not a curated record